UGCUACUUUGCUGACGAGCGGCGGACGGGUGAGUAAUGCUUGGGAAUAUGCCUUUUGGUGGGGGACAACAGUUGGAAACGACUGCUAAUACCGCAUGAUGUCUACGGACCAAAGUGGGGGACCUUCGGGCCUCACGCCAAAAGAUUAGCCCAAGUGGGAUUAGCUAGUUGGUAAGGUAAUGGCUUACCAAGGCAACGAUCCCUAGCUGGUUUGAGAGGAUGAUCAGCCACACUGGGACUGAGACACGGCCCAGACUCCUACGGGAGGCAGCAGUGGGGAAUAUUGCACAAUGGGCGCAAGCCUGAUGCAGCCAUGCCGCGUGUGUGAAGAAGGCCUUCGGGUUGUAAAGCACUUUCAGUAAGGAGGAAAGGUUAAGUUUUAAUAGAGCUUAGCUGUGACGUUACUUACAGAAGAAGCACCGGCUAACUCCGUGCCAGCAGCCGCGGUAAUACGGAGGGUGCGAGCGUUAAUCGGAAUUACUGGGCGUAAAGCGUACGCAGG
RNAcentral lists this ribosomal RNA (501 nucleotides) under Pseudoalteromonas prydzensis. RNAcentral's name for it is "bacterial SSU rRNA". It matches the Rfam family "Bacterial small subunit ribosomal RNA", at positions 78 to 575 of the family's 1533-position model. The record is from RNAcentral. Lineage: Bacteria; Pseudomonadati; Pseudomonadota; Gammaproteobacteria; Alteromonadales; Pseudoalteromonadaceae.